Molecule: unclassified non-coding RNA, 343 nt
Filed under: soil metagenome
Description: partial contains 5.8S ribosomal RNA, internal transcribed spacer 2, and large subunit ribosomal RNA
Rfam family: 5.8S ribosomal RNA (bases 1-120)
Source: RNAcentral
GAUGAAGAACGCAGCGAAAUGCGAUAAGUAAUGUGAAUUGCAGAAUUCAGUGAAUCAUCGAAUCUUUGAACGCACAUUGCGCCCGCUAGUAUUCUGGCGGGCAUGCCUGUCCGAGCGUCAUUUCAACCCUCAAGCCCCCGGGCUUGGUGUUGGGGAUCGGCGAGCCUCCGCGCCCGCCGUCCCCUAAAUCUAGUGGCGGUCUCGCUGUAGCUUCCUCUGCGUAGUAGCACACCUCGCACUGGGAAACAGCGCGACCACGCCGUUAAACCCCCAACUUCUGAACGUUUGACCUCGGAUCAGGUAGGAAUACCCGCUGAACUUAAGCAUAUCAAUAAGCGGAGGA